This 497-nucleotide ribosomal RNA is filed under the name uncultured bacterium. Its description in RNAcentral is "partial 16S ribosomal RNA". It matches the Rfam family "Bacterial small subunit ribosomal RNA", at positions 28 to 507 of the family's 1533-position model. The record is from RNAcentral.
GAUGAACGCUGGCGGCGUGCCUAAUACAUGCAAGUCGAGCGAACGGACGAGAAGCUUGCUUCUCUGAUGUUAGCGGCGGACGGGUGAGUAACACGUGGAUAACCUACCUAUAAGACUGGGAUAACUUCGGGAAACCGGAGCUAAUACCGGAUGAUAUUUUGAACCGCAUGGUUCAAAAGUGAAAGACGGUCUUGCUGUCACUUAUAGCUGGAUCCGAGCUGCAUUAGCUAGUUGGUAAGGUAACGGCCUACCAAGGCAACGAUGCAUAGCCGACCUGUGAGGGGGGUAGACCGCACUGGAAGGGAGACAGGGUCCAGACUCCUGCGGGAGGCAGCAGUAGGGAACCGUACGCAAUGGGCGAAAGCCUGACGGAGCGACGCCGCGUGAGUGAUGAAGGUCUUCGGAUCGUAAAACUCUGUUAUGAGGGAAGAACAUAUGUGUAAGUAACUGUGCACAUCGUGACGGUACCUAAUCAGAAAGCCACGGCUAACUACGUG